UUUCCGUAGGUGAACCUGCGGAAGGAUCAUUACAGUGUUCUCUGCCCUCACGGGUAGAAACGCCCACCCUUGUAUAUUAUAUCUUUGCUGCUUUGGCAGGCCGCCCUCGGGCACCGGCUCCGGCUGGAUCGCGCCUGCCAGAGGAAACCCAAACUCUGAAUGUUAGUGUCGUCUGAGUACUAUCUAAUAGUUAAAACUUUCAACAACGGAUCUCUUGGUUCUG
RNAcentral lists this unclassified non-coding RNA (223 nucleotides) under plant metagenome. RNAcentral describes it as "partial contains small subunit ribosomal RNA, internal transcribed spacer 1, and 5.8S ribosomal RNA". The record is from RNAcentral.